Molecule: ribosomal RNA, 367 nt
Filed under: uncultured organism
Description: bacterial LSU rRNA
Rfam family: Bacterial large subunit ribosomal RNA
Source: RNAcentral
CUUUACUGUAGCCUGAUAUUGGGUUCGGGCUUUGACUGCGCAGGAUAGGUGGGAGACUGAGACCUUGUGCUUGUGGGCACAAGUGAGUCAACGGUGAGAUACCACUCUGUCAGAGCUAGAAUUCUAACCUAUCGCCGUUAUCCGGCAUGGGAACAGUAUCAGGUGGGCAGUUUGACUGGGGCGGUCGCCUCCUAAAAGGUAACGGAGGCGCGCAAAGGUUCUCUCAGGCUGGUUGGAAAUCAGCCGUAGAGUGUAAAAGCAUAAGAGAGCUUGACUGUGAGACCCACAGGUCGAACAGGGACGAAAGUCGGCUUUAGUGAUCCGACGGCACUGUGUGGAAGGGCCGUCGCUAAACGGAUAAAAGUUA